This is a long non-coding RNA of Alosa sapidissima (American shad), 657 nucleotides long. RefSeq lists it as uncharacterized. The transcript is spliced from 3 exons. The record is from RefSeq and is a predicted model, not a curated record. Lineage: Eukaryota; Metazoa; Chordata; Actinopteri; Clupeiformes; Clupeidae.
UACACUAGCUGGCCGCUUUGGGUGUCUGACACUCCUUGGAGGGGGGCAGGGUUUUGGGAUUUUUUCUCAAUGAAUGAGCUGUGAUUGACACGAGUAUUUAAAUGGGGUAGGACAUGGCCGCGGUUUCCUAAUCUGCUGCUUCCCGGAAGCAAGGUGCGCACCGAUCAGGGGGAGCUCGCUUGGGAAGAUUGUUUGUCCGCUUACCAUGCUCACCGGUUCGUUUGUUUGAGAGCUAGACAGAAGACGGGCCGCGAUCAGCUGGGGAAGAAAAAAGACGCACUGUUUGGAAAAUGAUCCAGUGGGUUCACGCAUUGCUACUAGCCGCUGUUUGUUUUACUUUUGUUACUGUUGUUUAGUUUGUUUUGUUUAUUUGCGCUCUGCUCAAGGGUUGUAUGUGUCAGUACGUAUGGUUAUUCUUUUUUUUUGUUUUGCGCAGCUAGUCGGCUGCGCAGGUAGAGGAGGGGGGUACAAUUGAAUCACGUUCUCAACGGUGUCUUACUUGAGCGCUCUGGGAUAACUAUAGGCUGCGCUAGAGACUGUGAUAAUUGCAGCCACUAGAUGGUGUACGUCUAUUUAUAGUCUGUCUUAUUGUGUAAGUGUGUGUCAUUUUACCUUAACAAAAGAAAGAAAAUGAACUUUACAAAUAUUUAUAAAUAA